CACAGGUGCUGCAUGGCUGUCGUCAGCUCGUGUCGUGAGAUGUUGGGUUAAGUCCCGCAACGAGCGUAACCCUCAUCCUUAGUUGCCAGCGGGUAAUGCCGGGCACUUUAAGGAAACUGCCGGUGGUAAACUGGAGGAAGGUGGGGAUGAUGUCAAGUCAGCACGGCCCUUAUGGGGUGGGCUACACACGUGCUACAAUGGUGACUACAAUAGGUUGCAAUGUCGCAAGGCUGAGCUAAUCCGUAAAAGUCAUCUCAGUUCGGAUUGUCCUCUGCAACUCGAGGGCAUGAAGUCGGAAUCGCUAGUAAUCGUGGAUCAGCAUGCCACGGUGAAUACUUUCUCGGGUCUUGUACACACUGCCCGUCACGCCAUGGGAAU
RNAcentral lists this ribosomal RNA (378 nucleotides) under Anaplasma phagocytophilum. Its description in RNAcentral is "bacterial SSU rRNA". It matches the Rfam family "Bacterial small subunit ribosomal RNA", at positions 1033 to 1411 of the family's 1533-position model. Lineage: Bacteria; Pseudomonadati; Pseudomonadota; Alphaproteobacteria; Rickettsiales; Anaplasmataceae. The record is from RNAcentral.